Molecule: transfer RNA, 72 nt
Filed under: Bos taurus (domestic cattle)
Lineage: Eukaryota; Metazoa; Chordata; Mammalia; Artiodactyla; Bovidae
Also listed under: 2 other names
Rfam family: tRNA
About the family: Transfer RNA (tRNA) molecules are approximately 80 nucleotides in length. Their secondary structure includes four short double-helical elements and three loops (D, anti-codon, and T loops).
Source: Rfam by way of RNAcentral
UCCCUGGUGGUCCAGUGGUUAAGACUCUGAGCUCCCAAUGAGGGGGCUCGGGUUCGAUCCCUGGUCAGGGAA